RNAcentral lists this ribosomal RNA (253 nucleotides) under uncultured bacterium. RNAcentral describes it as "partial 16S ribosomal RNA". It matches the Rfam family "Bacterial small subunit ribosomal RNA", at positions 524 to 776 of the family's 1533-position model. The record is from RNAcentral.
UACAGAGGGGGCAAGCGUUAUUCGGAAUUACUGGGCGUAAAGCGUGCGCAGGCGGUUAUGCAAGACAGGUGUGAAAUCCCCGGGCUCAACCUGGGAACUGCAUUUGUGACUGCAUGGCUAGAGUGCGGCAGAGGGGGAUGGAAUUCCGCGUGUAGCAGUGAAAUGCGUAGAUAUGCGGAGGAACACCGAUGGCGAAGGCAAUCCCCUGGGCCUGCACUGACGCUCAUGCACGAAAGCGUGGGGAGCAAACAGG